CCCUUAGAGUUUGAUCCUGGCUCAGGAUGAACGCUAGCUACAGGCUUAACACAUGCAAGUCGAGGGGAAACGAUAGAGAAAGCUUGCUUUUUCUAGGCGGCGACCGGCGCACGGGUGAGUAACGCGUAUCCAACCUACCCUUGUCCAUCGGAUAACCCGUCGAAAGGCGGCCUAACACGAUAUGCGGUUCACCGCAGGCAUCUAACGUGAACGAAAUGUGAAGGAGAAGGAUGGGGAUGCGUCUGAUUAGCUUGUUGGCGGGGUAACGGCCCACCAAGGCGACGAUCAGUAGGGGUUCUGAGAGGAAGGUCCCCCACAUUGGAACUGAGACACGGUCCAAACUCCUACGGGAGGCAGCAGUGAGGAAUAUUGGUCAAUGGACGAGAGUCUGAACCAGCCAAGUAGCGUGCAGGAUGACGGCCCUAUGGGUUGUAAACUGCUUUUAUAGGGGGAUAAAGUGUGCCACGUGUGGCAUAUUGCAGGUACCCUAUGAAUAAGGACCGGCUAAUUCCGUGCCAGCAGCCGCGGUAAUACGGAAGGUCCAGGCGUUAUCCGGAUUUAUUGGGUUUAAAGGGAGCGUAGGCCGUUUGGUAAGCGUGUUGUGAAAUGUCGGGGCUCAACCUGGGCAUUGCAGCGCGAACUGCCAGACUUGAGUGCGCAGGAAGUAGGCGGAAUUCGUCGUGUAGCGGUGAAAUGCUUAGAUAUGACGAAGAACUCCGAUUGCGAAGGCAGCCUGCUGUAGCGCAACUGACGCUGAAGCUCGAAAGCGUGGGUAUCGAACAGGAUUAGAUACCCUGGUAGUCCACGCGGUAAACGAUGGAUGCUCGCUGUUUGCGUCUGACGUAAGCGGCCAAGCGAAAGCGUUAAGCAUCCCACCUGGGGAGUACGCCGGCAA
This 895-nucleotide ribosomal RNA is filed under the name uncultured bacterium. RNAcentral's name for it is "bacterial SSU rRNA". It matches the Rfam family "Bacterial small subunit ribosomal RNA", at positions 1 to 891 of the family's 1533-position model. The record is from RNAcentral.